Molecule: ribosomal RNA, 2853 nt
Filed under: Triticum aestivum (bread wheat)
Lineage: Eukaryota; Viridiplantae; Streptophyta; Magnoliopsida; Poales; Poaceae
Description: partial small subunit ribosomal RNA
Source: RNAcentral
AUGGCAGUGGAAGGUGUUGCAUGGGGCAUAUCCGUCGCAGGAUGGAUCAUGUCCCCUAUCAUCUCGAGGCUUCUGGACAAAGCCUUGUCCUACUGCAAAGAUGACAAAAAAAAGACACUUUACCGCUUGUUGACAGACGUUCUUCCUCGCCUGACGCUUACUCUAGAAGCAGCAGAUGCCAUUAAUCAUAGGGCACUCUUUGAGGACAUGGUGAGUGGCCUUAAAUCUGCUUUCUAUGCCAUAGAAGAUAUCCUUGAUGAGCUGGAGUACAUUCGUCAUCAAGAGAAGCUGGACAGGCAGAAAAGUUUCUCGUCAAAAAUAGAGAAGAAAAAGUCCAUAAUUACUUUGGAUGCUGAAGCCGGUCCCUCGAUCCAGGAUAUUUUUGUCGAACCGAGUUUGACAUUCAAUGCAGCUUUAAAUGAUCGCUUGAAGGAUAAUAUGGCCAUGAUAGAAGAACUUAUUGAUAAAGCACAAGAUAUUAUUGCACUCGCGGAGCCGUCAAGCAAGGAUAAAACUGGUACUGCCAAAAAUACACAGGCAAGCACUACUUCAGAUCCAACAGCAGCGGUAAUUGGCCGAGAUGAGGAUCGUGACCGGAUAGCAGAAAUGCUCCGUGAUGAAAAAUGUGAUGGCAAUUCAAGAUCAAGUAUCAGUGAAUGUUUCUCAGUAAUUGGCAUUUAUGGCAUUUCAGGGUCUGGGAAGACAACCCUUGCACAACAUGUUUGCAAGUAUGAGGAAGAUGAAAAACGUUUCGACCUUAUUAUGUGGAUUCAUGUUUCUCCCAACUUUAGUGUGAGUGACAUUUUCAAGGAGAUGUUUGAAGCAGCUUCAGUAGAUAAGGAGAAAUCAUGCCGUACAUUCUGUAGCCUUGAUAUUUUGGAAAAAGAAUUGAAGAAGAAACUAGAAGGCAAGAGAUUCCUCUUGGUACUAGAUGAUAUCUGGUGCGAUAAGGAUUUUGAUAAGCAGAAGCUGGCGAAGUUACUUUCUCCAUUGAAGCUUGGAGAGAGAGGAAGCAAGAUCCUAGCGACUAGUCGCAAUAAAGAUGCAUUUUCAGAUCUAGGUCCUGGUGUGGCAUGUACCGUUUUCCCAAUAAGUGCCUUGGAUGAAAAGGUCUUCUUGGAACUGUUCAUGUAUUAUGCCCUUGAAAAUACAAAUGCAGAUGAUUCAGAUAAAAAAGAACUGAAAGAUAUUGGGGCUGCUAUUGCACUGAAACUGAAAGGUUCACCUUUGGCGGCUAGUACAGUGGGGGGACAACUACGUAAAAGAAAAAAUGAUGUUGGCUUUUGGAGAGAAGUUCAAGACCGGGACCUUCUGAAUGAGACAUUGGGGGCCCUCUGGUGGAGUUACCAGCAUCUUGAUGAGAAUGUUAGGCGAUGCUUUGCUUACUGCAGUAUUUUUCCUGAAAGACAUCGCUUGUACCGGGAUGAGUUAGUUAAACUAUGGGUGGCAGAGGGGUUCAUACAGACUGUUAAUGCAGAAGAGGACAUGGAAGCUGUUGGUCGGGAUUACUUUGAUGAGUUAUUGGCAACCUCGUUUCUGCAACCAGGAGGAUACCACCUAGGCAGUUUCUACUAUUUAGUCCAUGAUCUUAUGCAUGAUUUAGCCAAGAAGGCAGCAGGGAGUGAUUGUUUCAGAAUGGACAAUGGCUCCAGAAGAGAAGUUCCUCGUGAUGUUCGCCAUCUUUUUGUUGGGAAUGAGGGAAUGAACAUUAAGAAGAUUUUUGGAUUGAAAAACUUACGCACACUCAUUAUUGAUGGUAAGGAAUGGUCUACACGACUUAAUGAAGAGUUCUUUGCCAAAGUGUUUAAGAAGCUGCAAAAAUUGCGGGUACUGGCUGUAGAAAUCAAUGAAAGAAGAGUGUUCAAAAUUCCAGAUUCUAUUGUGCAUUUAAAGCAUCUGCGCUAUCUUGCCUUACGGAUGUUUGGCCAAUCCAAGUUGAUUUUGCCUAAAACAUUAGCCAAGCUUUACCAUCUGCAGGUUCUAAUUUUGUAUGUUCACGAUACAGAAUUCCCUAGUGAUAUAAAUACGGGCAACCUCACCAACUUGCGGCAUAUCAGCGGUGGUCAAAUUGGAAUAUAUUUUCCGAAUAUUGGGAGGCUAACAUCACUCCAAACAUUAAAAGUGUUCCAAGUGAGGACGGAACAUGGGCAAGAGUUAAAGCAGUUGAGGGACCUAAACAAGCUUCGGAGCUGUCUGGCAAUCCAAAGUCUUGAAAAUGUUAAAAGUAAGGAGGAAGCACAUGAAGCAAAGCUAGCUGAUAAGAAAGGACUGCAAGGACUGCGACUGUCCUGGAGUUGUGAUUCGACGUGCACGCCAGAAGUUGAAGCAGAGGUACUUGAGGGUCUUUGCCCACCCAAGGAUCUUAAAAGUCUAGGAAUCAUGAACUACCACGGAUUGAGGUACCCAAAUUGGAUGGUGUCUGAGAAGAAUGGCGGCCCAAAGCAUCUACAUGUACUUAAGAUCCGCGGCUGCAGUCGAUUGGGACCAGCUCCCCAACUUUUUGAGUUCUUCAUUCAUCUUCGUGAGCUCGUCAUUUCUGACUGCAGCUGGGACUGCAUGCCAAACAAUAUGAAGGACCUCAGGUCGCUCAAGACCCUAAUGAUUAUGAAUUGCUUGCACCUCAAAUCACUUCCAGAACUUCCCUUGUCUCUUAUGAAGUUUGAAGUGCAUGAUUGCAAUGAAGUGUUCAUGAGGUCGUGCCAACAAGUAGGUGAUCCAAACUGGGAAAAGAUUCAGCAUGUUGGCGUGAAUAAAACUGGAACUUUUGAAGUCAGGCUCCCAUGGACAAUGACUUUUUGGGAGGAAUCAUAUGAUACGGACAGAGCUGAAGACGAAGACUCGCCAUUGUUAUGA